AACGAACGCUGGUGGCAUGCCUAACACAUGCAAGUCGAACGAAGCCUUCGGGCUUAGUGGCGCACGGGUGCGUAACGCGUGGGAAUCUGCCCUUGGGUUCGGAAUAACAGUUAGAAAUGACUGCUAAUACCGGAUGAUGUCUUCGGACCAAAGAUUUAUCGCCCAAGGAUGAGCCCGCGUAGGAUUAGGUAGUUGGUGGGGGUAAUGGCCCACCAAGCCGACGAUCCUUAGCUGGUCUGAGAGGAUGAUCAGCCACACUGGGACUGAGACACGGCCCAGACUCCUACGGGAGGCAGCAGUGGGGAAUACUGGACAAUGGGCGAAAGCCUGAUCCAGCAAUGCCGCGUGAGUGAUGAAGGCCUUAGGGUUGUAAGCUCUUUUACCAGGGAUGAGUAAUGACAGUACCUGGAGAAUAAGACUCCGGCUAACUCCGU
This 434-nucleotide ribosomal RNA is filed under the name uncultured bacterium. RNAcentral describes it as "bacterial SSU rRNA". It matches the Rfam family "Bacterial small subunit ribosomal RNA", at positions 29 to 506 of the family's 1533-position model. The record is from RNAcentral.